AUGCAACCCUAUCGUCUGAAUGCUUUCGGACUACGCACCCACAUAAAGCUUCAAAGCAAGUAUUAUGUACCUUUCCGUAUCAUGGCCAAAGUGAGGCGCGUCGCUUACAAGCUACUCCUACCUGACAUCGCCAACAUCCACCCGGUCUUCCAUGUCAGCCAAUUGAAGAAGCACAUGGGGCAAACGACUGUUCCUUGCACCGACCUUCCUCUGGGUCGAGCAGAUGGAUUGAUACUAACCAAACUUGUUCUAGUAUUGGAAACUCGCCAGAUCCCGCACAACAGCUUGCCUAUUUUCCAGUGGCUGGUUCAAUGGGCAAACCUACCACCUGCUGAAGCAUCAUGGGAGGAUGUGGCGUUCAUGAAUAAAACUUUUCCUGCAUUCCUCAAGAUGACCAUCGAUCGCUGGUUCAACAGAUCAUUUCCUUGA
This 429-nucleotide ribosomal RNA is filed under the name Triticum aestivum (bread wheat). Its description in RNAcentral is "partial small subunit ribosomal RNA". The record is from RNAcentral. Lineage: Eukaryota; Viridiplantae; Streptophyta; Magnoliopsida; Poales; Poaceae.